GGAGCCUUGCUCUGUCGCCCAGGCUGGAGUGCAGUGGCGCAAUCUCGGCUUACUGCAAGCUCUGCCUCCUGGGUGCACGCCAUUCCCCUGCCUCAGCCUCCGGAGUAGCUGGGACUACAGGCGCCUGCCACUGCGCCCGGCUAAUUUGACAUUGCUCUUAAAACGAUGAGGCUUCCUCUUUGAAGAUCACAGGUGAGAAGAUUAGGUGCUUUCUCAGAAGCCCAGCAACCUGAUGGGAGUGUGGAGUGAGCAAGACCCAAAUCGGAGCUUCAUCCCUGCAUGGUUCAUUUUGCUUAUUUGGCAAACUUGCCCUGCAGAAUCUACUCAAGCUUCCUCAGUUUCUCAAAUCAUUCUUGGGCAACAAAUGAACAAGAAAGAGGACGUCUUAUUAUCUGGUGUCUGGCUUGCUGAUUUAAUAACCUAGGAGACAGUGUUUGAAGAACACAAACUCUAAAGUCCUUCACUUAAAAAAAAAAAAAAACUUUCCCAAAUUGCUUACCAUUUGGAAAAAUUGCCUUACCUUCUUCAGUCAUCUCUGAUGUUGUCAUCCUCAGAGUAAGAAGUACGCAUUCAUAAGGAACCAUAACGUCCUUCAGGAAAUCCAGUACACCCUACAAUUUUACCUAAAACUUUGAUGUUGUUUUUUCUGAGCAUUUUACCUUCUAGGGAAAUGGAUCUCAUGCUGUUUAUCAGUUUCUGAAAGUUGUUAUUAAUCUCCCCUCAUCCCAAAAUUGAAGAACUUUGCUUAAAUCUUAGAAUCAGAACUUUGGCUCCAGUAAUAAAGACUUUUCAAUAUCUUUAUCUGCCAUUGAGUCUUACCUAACGAAAUAAAGCCUCCAAAGUGGGAAUUUGAAA
Homo sapiens (human) is the source of this 855-nucleotide long non-coding RNA. Ensembl annotates it as long intergenic non-protein coding RNA 1091. The record is from Ensembl. Lineage: Eukaryota; Metazoa; Chordata; Mammalia; Primates; Hominidae.